This 284-nucleotide unclassified non-coding RNA is filed under the name plant metagenome. RNAcentral's name for it is "partial contains small subunit ribosomal RNA, internal transcribed spacer 1, and 5.8S ribosomal RNA". The stretch from base 1 to 53 matches the Rfam family "Eukaryotic small subunit ribosomal RNA", at positions 1778 to 1831 of the family's 1831-position model. The record is from RNAcentral.
GGAAGUAAAGUCGUAACAGGGUUUCCGUAGGUGAACCUGCGGAAGGAUCAUUAUUGUAUAACCGAGGUGCGAGGGCUGUCGCUGACCCGAAAGGUCGUGCACGCCCGAGUGCCCUCACACACAUCCAUCUCACCCCUAUGUGCACCACCGCGUGGGUCCCCCUUUGGCUUGUUCGGAGGGGGGCUUACGUUUUCACACAAACUUUGUAUGCAGUGUAGAAUGUAUUUUUUGUUUUUGCGAUCACGCAAUCAAUACAACUUUCAACAACGGAUCUCUUGGCUCUC